AACGAACGCUGGCGGCAGGCCUAACACAUGCAAGUCGAACGGACGUAGCAAUACGUUAGUGGCUCACGGGAGAGUAACGCGUGGGAACCUACCUUUUGGUUCGGGAUAACAUCGGGAAACUGGUGCUAAUACCGGAUAAGCCCUUCGGGGGAAAGAUUUAUUGCCGAAAGAUGGGCCCGCGUUGGAUUAGCUAGUUGGUGAGGUAAUGGCUCACCAAGGCAACGAUCCAUAGCUGGUCUGAGAGGAUGAACAGCCUCACUGGGACUGAGACACGGCCCAGACUCCUACGGGAGGCAGCAGUGGGGAAUAUUGGACAAUGGGGGAAACCCUGAUCCAGCCAUGCCGCGUGAAUGAUGAAGGCCUUCGGGUUGUAAAGUUCUUUUGGUGGGGACGAUGAUGACGGUACCCACAGAAUAAGCUCCGGCUAACUUCGUGCCAGCAGCCGCAGUAA
This 451-nucleotide ribosomal RNA is filed under the name uncultured bacterium. RNAcentral describes it as "partial 16S ribosomal RNA". It matches the Rfam family "Bacterial small subunit ribosomal RNA", at positions 29 to 523 of the family's 1533-position model. The record is from RNAcentral.